Molecule: ribosomal RNA, 277 nt
Filed under: uncultured prokaryote
Description: partial 16S ribosomal RNA
Rfam family: Bacterial small subunit ribosomal RNA
Source: RNAcentral
UACGUAGGGGGCGAGCGUUGUCCGGAUUUACUGGGGCGUAAAGGGUGAGUAGGCGGUUGUAUAUGUCAGGUGUAAAAGGCUAUGGCUUAACCAUGGUUAGCACUUGAAACUGUACAACUUGAGUGCGGGAGAGGUAAGUGGAAUUCCAUGUGUAGCGGUAAAAUGCAUAGAGAUAUGGAGGAACACCAGUGGCGAAGGCGGCUUACUGGUCUGGAAUUGACACUGAGGCACGAAAGCGUGGGUAGCAAACAGGAUUAGAUACCCCGGUAGUCCCUGA